GGAAAUGUAGCUCAGUGGUAGGGCCCUUGCCUGGUGGGCAGGAGGGCCUGGGGUCCACCUCCAGUACUGCCA
This 72-nucleotide transfer RNA is filed under the name Marmota marmota marmota (Alpine marmot). It matches the Rfam family "tRNA". From Rfam's summary of the family: Transfer RNA (tRNA) molecules are approximately 80 nucleotides in length. Their secondary structure includes four short double-helical elements and three loops (D, anti-codon, and T loops). The record is from Rfam by way of RNAcentral. RNAcentral also lists the same sequence under 3 other names. Lineage: Eukaryota; Metazoa; Chordata; Mammalia; Rodentia; Sciuridae.